This 301-nucleotide ribosomal RNA is filed under the name uncultured bacterium. RNAcentral describes it as "partial 16S ribosomal RNA". It matches the Rfam family "Bacterial small subunit ribosomal RNA", at positions 509 to 808 of the family's 1533-position model. The record is from RNAcentral.
CAGUAGCCGCGGUAAUACGUAGGUCCCGAGCGUUGUCCGGAUUUAUUGGGCGUAAAGCGAGCGCAGGCGGUUAGAUAAGUCUGAAGUUAAAGGCUGUGGCUUAACCAUAGUACGCUUUGGAAACUGUUUAACUUGAGUGCAAGAGGGGAGAGUGGAAUUCCAUGUGUAGCGGUGAAAUGCGUAGAUAUAUGGAGGAACGCCGGUGGCGAAAGCGGCUCUCUGGCUUGUAACUGACGCUGAGGCUCGAAAGCGUGGGGAGCAAACAGGAUUAGAGACCCGCGUAGUCCCUGUCUCUUAUACA